This 30-nucleotide non-coding RNA is filed under the name Cricetulus griseus (Chinese hamster). The record is from RNAcentral. Lineage: Eukaryota; Metazoa; Chordata; Mammalia; Rodentia; Cricetidae.
UGAUGUUGCUGAAGAUGACCCUGAGCUGGU